This 253-nucleotide ribosomal RNA is filed under the name uncultured bacterium. RNAcentral describes it as "partial 16S ribosomal RNA". It matches the Rfam family "Bacterial small subunit ribosomal RNA", at positions 524 to 776 of the family's 1533-position model. The record is from RNAcentral.
UACGUAGGGUGCGAGCGUUAAUCGGAAUUACUGGGCGUAAAGCGUGCGCAGGCGGUUAUGUAAGACAGAGGUGAAAUCACCGGGCUCAACCUGGGAACUUCCUUUGUGACUGCAUGACUAGAGUACGGCAGAGGGGGAUGGAAUUCCGCGUGUAGCAGUGAAAUGCGUAGAUAUGCGGAGGAACACCGAUGGCGAAGGCAAUCCCAUGGGCCUGUACUGACGCUCAUGCACGAAAGCGUGGGGAGCAAACAGG